GGAGAGGUGGCCGAGCGGCUGAAGGCUGCGGUUUGCUAAACCGCCGUACCGGUAACACUGGUACCGGGGGUUCGAAUCCCCCCCUCUCCGCCA
This 93-nucleotide transfer RNA is filed under the name Lentisphaerota bacterium. RNAcentral describes it as "Lentisphaerae bacterium (anaerobic digester metagenome) tRNA-Ser". It matches the Rfam family "tRNA". Rfam says of the family: Transfer RNA (tRNA) molecules are approximately 80 nucleotides in length. Their secondary structure includes four short double-helical elements and three loops (D, anti-codon, and T loops). Further hydrogen bonds mediate the characteristic L-shaped molecular structure. tRNAs have two regions of fundamental functional importance: the anti-codon, which is responsible for specific mRNA codon recognition, and the 3' end, to which the tRNAs corresponding amino acid is attached (by aminoacyl-tRNA synthetases). tRNAs cope with the degeneracy of the genetic code in two manners: having more than one tRNA (with a specific anti-codon) for a particular amino acid; and 'wobble' base-pairing, i.e. permitting non-standard base-pairing at the 3rd anti-codon position. Lineage: Bacteria; Pseudomonadati; Lentisphaerota. The record is from RNAcentral.